UGAUCAGAAAAAAGAGAAGCUCUCAUCAAUCUGCUGAUCCUGGGGACAGACUUGACCACAGUGAGCAGCGUCGACACAAUCAGUCUGGGGAAAACUGUGACCUUAACUAUGCCAGUGUCCACUUCAUGAAGAGAGAGACGGAUCCCGUCCACUCCAACGUCAGAUCAGCUGAACCCAGCGAACACAAGGAGGCGGAGGAGGUUACGUACGCUUCUGUCAACUUUAACAGAUCUGCCCGGAGAACCAGAGGUCAGGACACUGGAGAGGAUCCAACUGCAUUGUACAGCACAGUCCAAAAACGUCGUGCUGUUUAGACCAACGUCUGGAAAUCACCUGAGUCCCAAUGGAAAUAUCUCAACAGCUGCAGGAUGGAUUUGAAUAGAAGUUCAUUUAACUGUUCAUGGUCCCCACAGGAUUAAUCCUUCUUUGGUGACAGACUCCAGCAUCAUUGUUGAAGUGAAUGUUCAGUUUUAAGUGACUUGUCUUGACAGCUCAUGGAUAAAUUGCCCCGAGGAUGAAUCCAAACGACUUCGGUGACUCGACUUUUAUCUGAAAUAUAUCAGCAACUUGUAGAAGUUGUUAAAAACGCCACAUUUAGCUUGAAUGAAAAAUAUCAACAUUCUAUAACUUGCAGCUUCAAACAUGAAAAUAUCUGCGGUGUGAGUCAGAUGGUCGACAAACUGUUGACUUGUAAUUAACUUUUUUCUAUUCAUAAAAUUAUCAAAACAAGCAUUAUUAGUUAGUUGUGGUGUGACACUGCUGCCACUAGAUGGUAGUAAAGAGUUUUACUGAUAAAACCACAGAGAGGAUUCUGUCCCUUUCACUUCUUUCUGUUUCUACACUAUUGUUUCUAUCGUUUCCAUCAUCAGCCGAUCAGGAGUUGUACUCGUUUCCUCUGAGGACUGGAGGGAGCACGUCUCAUGUGGAUGUGAGCUGCAACUGACGUGAUGAACGCCUUGAAUGUGACCGUUAACACAAAGUGAACUGCUGACACCAGAUGAGCUGUGUUGCCUCUGGUGUCUGUUCAAAGUUUGCAUCAGGCCCAUUGAUGUCACUUUAGUGUUUUGUGGUGUUUCUCACAUCACGUGUUAAACAGGUGAAGAAGAAGGAGUUAGGUGUGUUUUAAUCCACAAUGUUCACAUGGCGGCCAUUUUCCUCUGACGCCUCUCUCAGGGUGUGAAGCUCGAAUGUUGUUACGAACAGAAUAAAGCUGUACUGCUGUGAUCCAGGUUUAUAAGUUAUAAAAAAAAGAUAAUAUUUUAUUACUUAUUCAUUAGG
Molecule: long non-coding RNA, 1278 nt
Organism: Limanda limanda (common dab)
Lineage: Eukaryota; Metazoa; Chordata; Actinopteri; Pleuronectiformes; Pleuronectidae
Exons: 3
Source: RefSeq, a predicted model, not a curated record